CGAGAAAGUUCGUGUGAGGGCGUUGUGUAAGACCCGGAGGAUAAUAUGGCCGAUCGAACUACGAAUGUUCAAAUGCUGCGCGUUGAUAGCUGCGCACUGGCAUGCAUCACUCGUCAUGUUUACACCGGACGACUGUCGUUUUUAGCAUGUUUAUAAGUAUACGGCGGUGAAACUACUUUAAUAAUACUUUGUUACUAGUAAAUGUAGCGUUGAUAAUGCUGAGAUGUAAUUUCAUGUGAUAAACUUGCUGGUGAGGUGCAUUCGACGAAAUAAAAAAAGUCCACCGCCAUGCGAAAAGAGCGGGAAAGCCAUAGUUAAGGUGGGAACAAGGAUUAAAAUCUUAGUGGGGAGAACAACACCCAUUUACUUAUGCGAAAUAUCACUUUUUCCUAAAUGAUUAAUAACUGGUGUACGUUGAUGAGAAAAUAUAUACAAUGACGAUACAAUCA
Long non-coding RNA from Bombus huntii, 449 nucleotides. RefSeq lists it as uncharacterized. The transcript is spliced from 2 exons. Lineage: Eukaryota; Metazoa; Arthropoda; Insecta; Hymenoptera; Apidae. The record is from RefSeq and is a predicted model, not a curated record.